Molecule: non-coding RNA, 2657 nt
Organism: Cyanistes caeruleus (blue tit)
Lineage: Eukaryota; Metazoa; Chordata; Aves; Passeriformes; Paridae
Source: RefSeq, a predicted model, not a curated record
CCAGACUCCGCCCGGUGAUCCCGUCCCGGUGAUCCCGUCCCGGUGAUCCCGUCCCGGUGAUCCCGUCCCGGUGAUCGUGUCCCGGUGCGGUGCCACGGCGGAGCCGGCAGGGGGCGUCCCUUCCGCCCGUUCCCGUGAGCCUGGGCCCCGCCCGGUCCCCGAGCUCACCCGCUGUCGCCGUGGGGACCGGCUCGGGUUACGGGGGAUACGGGGCAUCCCCAGGGCGAAGAGGGGUUCCCGGGGGGCGAUGGGGCCCGGGGAUCCCCGGAGGGCAGAGGAUGGUGAGGAUCAGUGGGGUGGAGGAGUGUCCCAGGAGGAACAGAAGCUGCCAAGCGGACAAAAGAGCGAGCUGGGAGGGGUUCCACAUAGACCAUCAGCGGUAUCACCUCUGCAACAGCCUACUAAAUCCAUUCCUCCAUACCGUCCCUGCCUCCAGCUGGCUGCUGGAACACCACUCUUCUUCCCAGAGCCACUCCUGUGUGGAGUGGCACCAGGCACGGUGACAAAUUCCUCCGUGCUGCCAGUGCAAGCAGCAGUGCCUGAGGAGGCUGAAGGCAGUGGUGCAGACCUGCUGUCAGAACUGGCUGGACACGGUGAGGGCAGAACUCCAGGACACAGAAAAAACAAUGGAAAAUAAUCUGGGAAGCUAGUUGCUCACAUCACUGUGAAAUGAGUCUACACAGUCAUGUUACCUUUGCUUUCCAUCCUCGGUUAAAGACACUGUGUUGAUCUUACAAAUGUCAAACAAUUCCAUUUCUGAGAAUGAAUCCCAUUUGCCCUGUGGGGAUGCUCUUCCCAUCAGCCUGCCGUGAGGGAGAGAACCCUGUGACACACGGGAACCUGUGCUGGGGGCGAGGGGGGAGGUCUGCUCAUGGGAUUAUUCUUUCCUGCUGCAUUCCAGCUCCUGCCCCCCGGGUGCACACACAUUUUUUUAUGAAAAUAUCACCCUGUUGGGCAGACACUCACCCAGCAGAGCAGCAUGGGUGUGGGUGUCAAGGGUGGCUGGAUUUCCUUCACCAGGGUCUGUGUUUUAGCUGGAAGACAGGUAUGGCUGUAGCUAUGGAGGCACGAGCUGAAGGAGGAGGAAAGCCUGGAACAUGUCAGGAGGGAGGAGGCAAGUGGCUGUGUGAUAGAUUAGUGGAACUUAAUUUUUUUCUGUUUUUAAAAAAAAAAAUUAUAAAAAAGGGGAAUUAAUUAGCCUCAGCAGCUGGUGGGGCUGGGGUUACUGAGGGUGGAUGGGAGAAGAGUUAAAAAUAGCAGGAAGGCCCAAGUGGAAAGUUUCUGUAACAUCACAAGUCAGGCAUUUGGUGCUUACCCGCCCUGACAAGCGGGAGCCUGUGCCAGAGCCCUCUCCACCAUCCUCAGCCCUUUCCCACUGACCUCCCUGCAACUUUUCACACGACAUCAGCAACCCUUCGUUUUGCUAAUUAACCCUUUGCUUCCAGACACUGGACUUGCAUCUUGAAAGAGCAAAAUCAGCCACAAAUUGCUCAGCCUGGGAAUGUGAGGGUGCAGAGGACCACAGUGCUCGUGCUGGCCCUCCCUGGGUCCCUGCAUGUUGCUGGCAGUGUGUGGAGCCCAGAGGAGCUGUAAACCCCCCUGUGUCCAUUCCCAUCUGCAUUUCAGCUUCCCCUCCUUAAAAAUCCUCCCAUUUCCAGAGGCCCUGUGUGGAUUUCUCCAGUAGGUUGGAGCCCUAUGCUGGGACACUCUGGAUGCACAGUUUGUCCUUGGCUUAGACGGAGAUGGAUGAGGCAUCUCUGAGCAAGCCCAGCUUGCUGCACUUGUCCCCACUGCGAGAAAGCAGAUGUACCUGGCUGCUCCAACAGGCUUUCUCUUCUGUUUGUCUUUCAGGAUUGACAAUGAGAGCAGCUGAGUUCAUUCCUUCUCCCUCCCAGAGCCCAGGAGUUGUGUCUGGCUCUGCUGCUCUGGGAGGACUGGCAAGAGCUGAGUCUGCCAUACAGAGGGUGGUCUGAGGGUGAUGGAGCAGGGCUUGGGCUGGAACAGAUUUUGGUGGUAGGCAGAGUGGUCUGUGACUGUGGCAGACCAUGAGGCAUGAGAAAAUACUGCUGUGUUAACUGGGGGUUAGGUUUGGCUCUGGUUUACACUAAAUAGGAGCUGGGCACUACCCUCACCUAGGUUAAAAGUGUUUUCCUCUUCUCCUAGGUGCUUGCAUGGUCCUGGGUCCCAGAACAGGCAUCUGGGCUGACCCCACUGAAAGCCAGUGCAGGACCCUGGGGACACAGAGAGGGUGACACAGCUGACACAAGGCAGGCUUCCCUCAACCCACAUUGUGCCCCCUGAUGACAGGACUGCCAUGCAGGGAACGGGGACACCUCUGAGCACAGACCAUCUGAGCAGUCACCCUGCUCCUGCUCCUCCUCAUACCAAAACAGCCAAAGCACAAUGGCUUAUUCCCCCUCUGUGCUUUGGCCCUCCUAACUCUCCACUUUCUCAGCUGCAUGCUGGGUACUCAGCAUUCCCACCAAGGAGCUGUUACUCCUCUGAUGCCAGUCCCAUGCCCAGUGCCUGGAGCAGCCAGGCUCAGAUGAGGUGCCAAGCUGACUCCAUUGCCUUCAGCCCUUCUUCCCCCCAGGCCUGCUCAGCACCUUGGGCAUUUGCUGAUGUGAUUUUAUGGCACAAUAAAGGUGUUACUGUCA